UCAAGCUGAAAAGAGCGCAAGGGGAAUGCCUUGGCAUCAGGAGCCGACGAAGGACGUGACAAGCUGCGAUAAGCCACGGGGAGGAGCAAAUAUCCGUUAUAUCCGUGGAUUUCCGAAUGGGGGAACCCGCUCAAGCAAUACUUGAGCAUCGUGCGUUGAAUCAAAUAGGCGUACGAAGGGAACGGCCUGAACUGAAACAUCUAAGUAGGGCCAGGAAAAGACAUCAACCGAGAUUCCGCUAGUAGUGGCGAGCGAACGCGGAGGAGGCCAAACCGAGGGACGCAAGUUCUUCGGGGUUGCGGACAGACAUCAUGACCAGAGGAAGUUAAGAGAACGGCGUGGGAAAGCCGGCCAUAGAAGGUGAGAGCCCUGUAUCUGAAAAUGAAGACUGGCAGUCUGGAUCCAGAGUACCGCGGGACACGUGAAACCCCGUGGGAAACCGGGUGGACCACCAUCCAAGCCUAAAUACUACCUGAUGACCGAUAGAGGAGCAGUACCGUGAGGGAAAGGUGAAAAGGACCCCGGGAGGGGAGUGAAAGAGAACCUGAAACCUUGUGCUUACAAGCAGUCAAAGCACGUUAACGUGUGAUGACGUACUUUUUGUAGAACGGUCCGGCGAGUUAUAGUAACGAGCAAGCUUAAGGUAUUGAGUACCGGAGGCGAAGCGAGAGCGAGUCUGAAUAGGGCGUAAAGUUCGUUGCCAUAGACCCGAAACCGGGUGACCUAUCCAUGAGCAGGCUGAAGUGAGAGUAAAAUCUCAUGGAGGGCCGAACCGACCCCCGUUGCAAUGGUGGCGGAUGACUUGUGGAUAGCGGAGAAAUUCCAAUCGAACUCGGAGAUAGCUGGUUCUCCCCGAAAUAGCUUUAGGGCUAGCGUUAUUUUAGAUUACCGGAGGUAAAGCACUGAAUGGUCUAGGGGCCGCGAGGUUACCAAAGCCUAUCAAACUCUGAAUGCCGGAUAAUUGAUGAAUAGCAGUCAGACUGUGUGAGAUAAGUCUCAUAGUCAAAAGGGAAACAGCCCAGAUCUACAGCUAAGGUCCCAAAUGAACACUAAGUGGAAAAUGAUGUGAAACUGCGAAGACAACCAGGAUGUUGGCUUAGAAGCAGCCACUCAUUCAAAGAGUGCGUAAUAGCUCACUGGUCGAGUGGUUUUGCGCAGAAAAUGUAACGGGGCUAAGUGUUCAACCGAAGCUUAGGCAUUGCAGUAAUGCAUUGGGUAGGGGAGCGUCGUAUGCGGGGCGAAGUCAGAGCGGAAGCACUGGUGGACUGCAUACGAGUGAGAAUGCCGGAAUAAGUAGCGAGAAUUAUGUGAGAAUCAUAAUGGCCGAAAAUCUAAGGUUUCUUGGGGAAGGUUCGUCCGCCCAAGGUUAGUCGGGAGCUAAGCUCAGGCCGAAAGGCGUAGGCGAUGCACAUACGGUAGAAAUUCCGUAACCACCGAACAUUUAAGCUAGAGGGACGCUUUCUUUAAGGUUAUCCCGGGCGAUGGUUGCCCCGGGCGUAAGGGACCGAAAUUUAGUAGGGAAGUAACUGGCGAGAGAGACGAGAAAAGCUCUAGUGUAUACUAAGGUGCCCGUACCGCAAACCGACACAGGUAGAUGGGAUGAGUAUUCUAAGGCCAACGGGAGAAGGGUUGUUAAGGAACUCGGCAAAUUGGCCCCGUAACUUCGGGAUAAGGGGCGCCUGCGAGAGCAGGCCGCAGUGAAAAGGCCCAAGCGACUGUUUAGCAAAAACACAGCUCUCUGCUAAAUCGAAAGAUGACGUAUAGGGGGUGACGCCUGCCCGGUGCUGGAAGGUUAAGGGGAGUGCUUAGCGCAAGCGAAGGUGCGAACUUAAGCCCCAGUAAACGGCGGCCGUAACUAUAACGGUCCUAAGGUAGCGAAAUUCCUUGUCAGGUAAGUUCUG
This 1901-nucleotide ribosomal RNA is filed under the name human gut metagenome. RNAcentral describes it as "bacterial LSU rRNA". It matches the Rfam family "Bacterial large subunit ribosomal RNA", at positions 3 to 1985 of the family's 2925-position model. The record is from RNAcentral.